This 334-nucleotide ribosomal RNA is filed under the name Tripyla environmental sample. RNAcentral describes it as "LSU rRNA". It matches the Rfam family "Eukaryotic large subunit ribosomal RNA", at positions 646 to 964 of the family's 3401-position model. The record is from RNAcentral. Lineage: Eukaryota; Metazoa; Nematoda; Enoplea; Triplonchida; Tripylidae.
GACCCGUCUUGAAACACGGACCAAGGAGUCUAACAUGUGCGCAAGUCAUGGGGUUGUAAACCCAAAGGCGUAAUGAAAGUAAAGGUCAAUUCGGUUGACCGAGGUGAGAUCCCCGCAAGGGGCGCAUCACUGUCCCAUCGCAUCUGCUUGUCAGAGCGGUGGAGAAAAAGCGUACACGCUGGGACCCGAAAGAUGGUGAACUAUGCCUGAGCAGGAUGAAGUCAUCGGAAACGGUGAUGGAGGUCCGUAGCGGUUCUGACGUGCAAAUCGAUCGUCAGACUUGGGUNUAGGGGCGAAAGACUAAUCGAACCAUCUAGUAGCUGGUUCCUUCCGA